GCCCGGGUGGUGGAAUUGGUAGACACACCAUCUUGAGGGGGUGGCGCCGCGAGGUGUACGAGUUCGAAUCUCGUCCCGGGCA
This 82-nucleotide transfer RNA is filed under the name Bacteroidota bacterium. Its description in RNAcentral is "Bacteroidetes bacterium (mine drainage metagenome) tRNA-Leu". It matches the Rfam family "tRNA". Rfam says of the family: Transfer RNA (tRNA) molecules are approximately 80 nucleotides in length. Their secondary structure includes four short double-helical elements and three loops (D, anti-codon, and T loops). Further hydrogen bonds mediate the characteristic L-shaped molecular structure. tRNAs have two regions of fundamental functional importance: the anti-codon, which is responsible for specific mRNA codon recognition, and the 3' end, to which the tRNAs corresponding amino acid is attached (by aminoacyl-tRNA synthetases). tRNAs cope with the degeneracy of the genetic code in two manners: having more than one tRNA (with a specific anti-codon) for a particular amino acid; and 'wobble' base-pairing, i.e. permitting non-standard base-pairing at the 3rd anti-codon position. Lineage: Bacteria; Pseudomonadati; Bacteroidota. RNAcentral also lists the same sequence under 1 other name. The record is from RNAcentral.